This 418-nucleotide long non-coding RNA is filed under the name Homo sapiens (human). RNAcentral's name for it is "non-protein coding lnc-UTP6-3:2". The record is from RNAcentral. Lineage: Eukaryota; Metazoa; Chordata; Mammalia; Primates; Hominidae.
AGUGGCUCAGUUACAACUGGAACCAAAAUGGUACUAACUACUAAAGUUGGAUCUCCAGCUACAGUAGCAUUCCAACAAAAUGAGAACUUUCAUCAAACCUUUGCUAUGUGUGUUAAGCAAGGCCAGUCAGAUUCAGCACAGCUGCGGCAUCUGCUACAACCAUUGCCAGCACAGGUCAGACGUUCCAAAUUACAGGCAAUCCAGUCACUAUGGCAGGAAAAGUAAUUACCAAACUGCCACUUCCUGCAAACAGCAAGACUGUCACUGUAAAUGUGCCAGCAACACAAGGAGGCAUUGUUCAAGUACAUCAGAAAGUCCUGGGUAUCAUUCCACCAAGUAUAGGCACCAGUCAGCAAACCUUUACUUCAUUCCAGCCCAGGACAGCAACAGUCACAGGCAGGCCCAAUACCUCAGGCUC